UUGUAAAAGUCAAGCAGAUGUAUCCUCUUCCUCCCUCUUAAUCUUAUGCACCACCCGUCCAAGAUUUCUGAUAGAUUAAAAUUGACGAAGACCUUAAAGAACAACUAGCCAACUCUAUAAAACAUAUCAUUUCAUUUCAUUUAUUUGGUUUUUUCAUAUACCAAACAAGUUUUUCAUAGGUGAUCGUAUCUUGAUUUCAACAAUGAGUUACGACAACAACAAUCAUCAAGAUUCAGAAGGAAGUUAUCAAGCCGGUCCUUAUGUUGCACCACCUCCAGUUAGUUACCCUAUGAGAUAUGGUCCUCAACACCACCAACAGCCACCUCCUCCUCCAGAAAAAACUAAGCAGAGGGGUGAUGAAUUUUGCACAGGAUGCUGCUGCUGCUGUAGCCGCCGCCGCUGUUGUUACUGCUGGGACUACUGCUGCUACUGCUGUGACUGCUUGAAAUCUAUUUUUGAAUGCUUUGGGAUUUGUGAGGGUGCAGGAGACUAAGACAAUUGAAAUAAUGGAUAUGAGAUAGAAUAAGAGAUGGGGACACAUUAUUUUUAAUAUAUAUUGGAACACCUUCUGCACCACCAGAACAGUGUCAGGCAGACUUCUGAAGCUGUAAGACAGUGGCGGCGCGUCUUCCCCACGCGCCACUAGCGGCGCGUCGGUUCACCCGCCGCCGCGAGGAAGAAACUGGAAACAGUGGGAUCUGGCUCAGCCCCUUCUCCUCUUCCUUUCCCUGCCGGCGGUGACAACCACCGUCACCUGCAAAAGAAGAAAAAACGCAAGCAAAGUUUCGGUUCUUCCUCCCCCUUUUUAGAUCUGCUCUCUUCUGGUUUCUCUCUUUCUCUUGGUUCGGUGAUUUUUCUUCUGCAGGUAAUAGAUCCGGCGGUUGGGCUGUCGUCCGUGGCAGCUGAAGCUGUGGUGGAGAUGUGAGUGGUUGUUCGGUCGGAGGGCGAAGAAGAAAUGGCGCCUGCGGCUGAAGAGGGAGACCGUAGGUCUGUGGGCGCCGCUGCUGGAGAAGGGCUGCUGCUGACCGGUUGAAGGAGAUGACGAAGAGAGUGGGGGCUGUUGCUGUGUUCGGCUGCCGCUGGAGGAUGGUCGAAGGAGAGAGGAGACCUGGUUCGGUCUGUGAUGGAGAAGAAGCUGAAACUGCCGGCGAGAGGGGAGAGUAAAGGGGUAUGACUCCGCCCUCUUUUGGUCUUGGCGAGCUGGUUCAGGAGAAAGGAAAAUGAGGGCUGGUGUCUGUGGUGUGUUGUGGGGCUGGGGACGAUGGAGAGGCUGGGAGAGGGAAGGUCUGGUGAGGGGUUGUCUUGGCUGAGAGGGGGAUGAUGGUGGCGGCCGGCGACUGAGGGAGAAGGAAGUGAGAUUGAGAGGGGGGGGCUUGAGCGGCUGCAGGAGGGGUCCAAGCUGGGGGGCGGCGGCGGCUUCUUAGAGAAGAGAUAGAUUUAGGUUUUCUCUUUUUUUUUUACUCUCCAAACUGCCCCCCUUCCCUUUGUAAAUUUCCUCCCCCUUUGGUAAUUUUUUUAGUAGUUAUAGGUGAAAUGUUGCUUUUUCCUUAAAAUUUGUUCCUCAACUUUGUUUUUUUAUAAAAUUUUAAUUUUUGUUUUUUUUGUA
Populus trichocarpa (black cottonwood) is the source of this 1606-nucleotide RNA transcript. It is a transcript of the gene named protein CYSTEINE-RICH TRANSMEMBRANE MODULE 9, with no coding region annotated. The transcript is spliced from 4 exons. Lineage: Eukaryota; Viridiplantae; Streptophyta; Magnoliopsida; Malpighiales; Salicaceae. The record is from RefSeq and is a predicted model, not a curated record.